This 462-nucleotide ribosomal RNA is filed under the name uncultured eukaryote. Its description in RNAcentral is "partial 18S ribosomal RNA". It matches the Rfam family "Eukaryotic small subunit ribosomal RNA", at positions 518 to 871 of the family's 1831-position model. The record is from RNAcentral.
GUACAAUUUAAAUCCCUUAACAAGUAACAAUUAGAGGGCAAGUCUGGUGCCAGCAGCCGCGGUAAUUCCAGCUCUAAUAGCGUAUAUUAAUAUUGUUGCAGUUAAAAAGCUCGUAGUUGAAAUUUGGAACUUUAUUAUAUUGGUUUACCUUUUGGUGAACUAUAUGAUGGGUUUCUUCCUACUAGAGUUCGAUUCUGUUCUUAACUGAAUGGAGUAGCUAUCUCUCGGGGUAGUCAAUUGGUUAUUAUAUCUCCACUAAUGAGCAGAGAGGAGUAAAAAUCUUCAAAGUAAGUUAUGUGGGUCAAGGUAUGAUGAUUAAAUUGGGAGUUCUAGUUCAUUUACUUUGAGAAAAUUAGAGUGUUUAAAAGCAGCCUCUUGGGGCACUGAAUACAUUAGCAUGGGAUAAUAAAAAUAGGAUCUUCACAAUAUAUUUAUUGGUUUAAAUUAGUCGUAUGAAGAUAA